This 275-nucleotide ribosomal RNA is filed under the name Elusimicrobiota bacterium. RNAcentral describes it as "partial 16S ribosomal RNA". It matches the Rfam family "Bacterial small subunit ribosomal RNA", at positions 1 to 267 of the family's 1533-position model. Lineage: Bacteria; Pseudomonadati; Elusimicrobiota. The record is from RNAcentral.
UUAAUGGAGAGUUUGAUCCUGGCUCAGAGUUAACGCUGGCUGCGUGCAUAACACAUGCAAGUCGAACGGGGAUUUUUAGCGUAGCAAUACGUUGAAAAUUCUAGUGGCAGACGGGUGAGUAAUACAUAAGGAAUCUACCCAAAAGUGGGGAAUAACUAGUUGAAAGAUUAGCUAAUACCCCAUAAUAUAGGAAGAUGGCAUCAUCUUUCUCUUAAAGAUUUUUCGCUUUUGGACGAUCUUAUGGUCUAUCAGCUAGUUGGUAGGGUAACGGCCUA